Molecule: long non-coding RNA, 5015 nt
Organism: Oreochromis niloticus (Nile tilapia)
Lineage: Eukaryota; Metazoa; Chordata; Actinopteri; Cichliformes; Cichlidae
Source: Ensembl
AUGUCAUUAUUUUGUUCAACAUUAAUUGUCCCAACCAGAAAAAAGAGGAUGUCCAAGGAACCUGUUAAAUCUGAAGACAGAGCCAACAACAGAGAACAGUGUUUACCUGACCAGAGACAGCCAGAGGAGCAGGAUGAUCUUCAGUACACCAGCAUCCACUUCUCCAAUAACCAGGCAGAUCCUCUCUACUCCAACAUCAGAGCAGCUCAGCCUCACAGACAAAUGCAGGAACAGGAAGUUACUGAGUACACUGCUGUUAGAUUUAACAGAGGCAGUGCAGCCAAGAGGUGAGAGAGACUGUCCUCUCAUGUCUAAGAAACAAACUCACUGCUUUUACUGUUCUUUUUCACCAUUAAUGGAAAUGAUUUCAGUUGAUGCUAUAUCCUCCAAAUCAUGAAAUCUUCUUCUCUGUUUUCAGAGACAGAAGUCAGGAAACAGGAGAGUCUCCAUGUGCACUGUUCUCCACAGUCAACAAAACCAGAUGAAGGGACGGGUUGAUGAUGAUGUGAUAUUUACGUAGACUUAAAAAAUAUUAUAAAAUAUAAUAUUAAUAUUAAUAUAUAUUUGUUGUUGUUAAAUAUCACACUUUUAAUAAUAGACCAAGAUCUGAGUGUAUACAAAAUGCAGGUUUUAAAUGAAGAAUUAUUUUUUAAGGGACAAGCAGCUAUCCAGACCUACCUGGAUGUAGGAAUCCAAUAAAGUCUUUUCACAACAGACAUGUCAAAGUGGAUCAGCUUCCUCACUUUGUUCAGUGGAUCACACUUUGCUAACUGUACCAGUCUCAGAUUUAAUUAUUCUGAAACUAAGUUUAAGCUUCCCAUAACUUUUUGUUGCAAGUUACAUUACUGAUAUAAUAAAUAUAAUAUGAUUGUAUUGUUCAUCCACAAGUGCAGUCUCUGGCUCAACCACAGAAGCUUGGUAUGUUUGGUUGUCAGUCCAGACAUUACUGCUUGAAUGCCUGUCAUGAAUUUAGCUAAUCCAAGUGCAGUUGCGUGGAGAAAGUCUUUAACAUUGUCCCAACUUCCCUUAAGUACAGUUGCUGCAGAUGUGGGCUGGAUAUGCUCAUCUCUCCUGGUGUCCUGCAAGGAAACAACCACAUUCUUUAGAAUAAAAAGCUAUAUUUAGUCUACUUAUUUCAUUUAUCUGUGGCCAGGUUGUGGGAGAAGCAGCCUAAGCAGAGAACUCCAGACCUCCCUCUCCACAGCCACCUCCUCCAGCUUAUCCAGGGGAACUCCAUCAGGUCCUGGGUCUGAUCCAGGGCCUCCUCCUGGUUGGACACAGCCAGUACACCUCACCUGGGAGACGCCCAGGUGGAAUCCUUGUCACAUGCCAGAACUACUUUCACUGGAUCCUUUCGAUGUGGAAGAGAGAAAAAUACAGAGAAAAAAAAAACAACAGUCAUAUGACCUCUGAUGAGCAUGUGCUUUGGCAACAGUGGGAAGGAAAAACUCCCUUUUAAAAGGAAGAACCCUCCAGUACAACCAGGCUGAGGGAGCACCAGCCAUAUGCCAGAUCCACUGAUAGUGGUCUUCUUACUAUUCCACAGACCUGUUUGAAAACAAAGGGGGAUUGCGCUUUUCAAACUCUAGCUCCAAUAUUGUGGAACAGUUUAGCUCCCUCGCUACCCAGCAUCACCUCUGUGGCUUCUUUUAACCUCCUAAGACCCGAACUCUUUCAUGGCAUGCUUUUUUUAAUUUUUCUUUGCUAUUUGGGCUGAUUGGGACAAAGAAUUAGCAGAUUUUUUUUUUUUUGCCUGAUUUUUGUUUCUGAGAAAAAUGAGAUCCACAUAUGAGGACAUUUGUUUUAAUUUUGAUAGAACAGUAGCAGUAUAAUGUCCUCGUAAGUGGAUAUCAGGCCUUUGUAGAGCAAAAUUUUGUAUUUUGGUCUAGACAACCGAAAAUGUGAUGUCCACAUAUGUGGAUGCCAGGUCCUAGGAGGUUAAAAAACAACUUAAAACACAUCUGUUUAGACAGGCAUUUGGGUAAUGUUUAUGUGUAAUAUGUUGUUUUAUUUCAUAUGCUUUUAUAGUCUCAAGUGAAGCACUUUGUAAUACUCUUAAAGUGCUAUAUAAAUAAAUUUUACAACUUACUUACUAAUAAGUAAUGAUUCAAUGCAGAAAGGUGUAUAAACACAUAGUGAGUGAGAAAGGUGACUGAAGAAGAAAUACUCACUGCAUCAUGGGAAUCCCCCAGAAACAUGCACCUAUUGCAGCAUAACUAAGGGAGGAUUCAGGGUCACCUGGUCCAGCCCUAACUAUAUGCUUUAGCAAAAAGGAAAGUUUUAAGUCUAAUCUUAAAAGUAGAGAUAGUGUCUGUCUCCCGAAUCCAAACUGGAAGCUGGUUCCACAGAAGAGGGGCCUGAAAAGAUUCAACAUUCAAGGUCUUUAUUGUCAAUACAACAAUAUACACAGUAUACGGCAUAUCGCAAUGCCGUUUCACCCCAAGCCCCCCAUGGUGCAUUUAUAUGAAUAUAAAAAACAUGUCUCCAAGAGAUAUGAAACUAGAAAUUGCAAAUAAAUAAUAACUCACUAAAUUUAAAUAAAAUUAAAAAGAUAAAAAGGUGCUACUACUAACUAUAUCUAUGUACGAUACACAAAGACAGGACAAGAGACAAUACAAAGUGAUGAUGAAGUGAGACCAUUAUAGGAGAAAUAUGCUCUCUCUUUCUAGUCCCUGUCAGUACUCUUGCUGCAGCAUUUUGGAUUAACUGAAGGCUUUUCUGAGAGUUUUUAGGCCAUCCUGAUAGUAAUGAAUUACAGUAGUCCAGCCUAGAAGUAACACAUGCAUGAACUAGUUUUCCAGCGUCACUCUGAGACAGGAUAUUUCUAAUAUACACCAAAGAACACAAGAGGGCAGGAAAAACAAACUCAGGGGAUGAACUACAAUUACAAAAGGAGACAGAAUCAAGACAAAACUCAAAGUGCACUAAACUAACAACAAACCAAGCAGAAAGAAACAACAGUGCAAACCUAAACCAGGAGCAACCUCAGAAACAAACUGAGGAUAUUUAACAAAAACAGAACUUGUAAGGCCAAAAGAAAAACACAAAACACAGGACAAAAGACCCGGGACCUUUACAGCAGCCUAAUUUCCUUUGGACUGUCUGAAGAUACUCCAGGUACCAGAUAAAUGUGGAGAGAACAUGUAAACUCUACACAGAAAGGCUCCAGCUGGCAGGUGAAUUUAAAGUCUGGUAUUGAAUUCACAGGAUGUUUUAAACAGUUGGAAAAUGUUUUAAUUUGAGCUUUUUAUUUUUUGUGUUUAUUUUUCAGUUUGUACUUUCUGGUAAUAAAGACUGAGACAGUUUCAGUGUGUUUUUUUCUCCUUCACAAUAACUGAACAACUGCUUUUUAUGUGACACUGAAGACUGAACAAAGUAAAAAAAAAAGUCUAAUAUAAAUUAACUUUUAACGUUAAACACUAACUACAAAAGAGUGUAAAUACCAAAUUUGUAAAUAUUUCUCUGUUCUGUCCUGCAUGUGUGCGCCAUUAAGAUUGACCGAAAUGAGUUUGUUGCAUGAAUUUCUUCACAUAGAGAUACUGUAUAUAUUUGAAACAACAGUUUUAUGUCACACCCUAUUACUGUAGAGUAUCAACAACAUGAAUGGGAACAAUAAUUUGCUGAAAAGUACAAUGUGGAGGAUUUACCUUCAACAGAUCCUCUCUCACAAACCUCUCCCAGAAACGCCUCAAGUUAUCCUGCACAGAAGGAAACAGGAAACCUGCAGUCACAAAGCAAAAGCAGGUCAUAUGUAGAGAAAUAAGGAGUCGGCUACACUAACAGUGUGAGCCCAACGAUCAGGCGUUGACUAAUGGUUUUCCAUUUUAAGUAGAAGCAGCAGGAUGAUGACCCAUAAGUGUGCCCAUCAGGCUCCAGGUGCACAGGAACGAGGGGUGGGAAACACAAAGGAAUCGUACUCCUGCAAGCAGAGGUGUGCAGACUCACAAACACUCACACAGACAGGAGGAGAGAGAAAACUGAGUCGUACCAGGAGGACUUGAAAUAGUGAUGGGAUUUCCGGCUCUUUUUAGAGAACCGGCUCUUUCGGCUCGGCUCACUAAAAAGAGCCGGCUCUUUCGGCUCCCAACUGGCUCUUCAGGUUGUUUUGUUGCUUUAAUCAAUUUAUUAUUAACAACAAUAUAAAAUUAUGCACAAAAGGAAAAAAAACAAAACAAAAAAACCUGUGGUUUUAUUUAUAUAUGUUUAUAUGUAAAUACAUACGGUGGCCCCUAGAGACAAAGCACAUACAAACUCCAAAGCACGUUUCUAACGUUAACUGAACUUCCAAAACAGAGCUACCUAGAUCAUUUCUACACAAGCACUCAUAUAUAUAUAAAAAAAUGUUCAUUUACCUGUUACUACCACACAUCAAAUCCGGUCGUUGGUACUUCCUGGCUUGUGUAGCCACUAGGUAACAAAAGCUCAACGCUGUCCCUAGCAUCCUGGAGCACUACUGUUGUGUCCUGUACGUGUUUCUGAGUUUUUACGUGUUUUGGAGUUCGUAAAUAUACUUUUAUUUAUUCACUCCACAUAAGAUGUAAUAAAUAAAUCAUAUAAUACAAAAACCAACUAUUUACAUUUCAACUUUUAACUAUUUAAAUUUCCAGCUUUUUCCUUUUAAACAAAUUUAAAGUGAAACAACACAAAACACUGCAAACCAAAACACAAUUAAAUAUAAGUUAAAAUAUGAAAACAAAAAGAAGAUGCACAUUCUCUGUCAUAUGGGCCUGCAUGAAUAAACUUUCUGACCCCUUUAUCAUCCGCAACUGAAAAUAGCUGUGGAUGAUUACUAUACCUUUCUAAUGUGACGUGUUGUUCCUGGCUCUCUUUCUCUCUCUUUCCCUCCGACUCUGUUCCUGUGCUACUGAGAGUGUAACUACUGCCCCUCCCCCCAGCGCAAAGCACAAGGCUCGCGUGAGGAGUGAAGCGGAAAAAAAGUGCGAGAGAGAGGGUGAGAGAAGGAAAGGAGAAAAAACCCCACGGCUGGCGAUAAGGAACCAGCUCGCGUCGUUCAC